RNAcentral lists this ribosomal RNA (301 nucleotides) under uncultured bacterium. RNAcentral describes it as "partial 16S ribosomal RNA". It matches the Rfam family "Bacterial small subunit ribosomal RNA", at positions 509 to 807 of the family's 1533-position model. The record is from RNAcentral.
CAGUAGCCGCGGUAAUACGGAGGGUGCAAGCGUUAAUCGGAAUUACUGGGCGUAAAGCGUGCGUAGGCGGUUCGUUAAGUCUGAUGUGAAAGCCCCCGGCUCAACCGGGGAGGGUCAUUGGAAACUGGGAAACUUGAGUGCAGAAAAGGUGAGUGGAAUUCCACGUGUAGCGGUGGAAUGCGUAGAGACGUGGAGGAACACCAGUGGCGAAGGCGACUCUCUGGUCUGUAACUGACGCUGAGGAGCGAAAGCGUGGGGAGCGAACAGGAUUAGAUACCCCAGUAGUCCCUGUCUCUUAUAC